UGUGCUCCAGGUCCCCCAGGCCGCAGCAUGUUGGCGGCACUCAUUGCUGCCCAGGCCACGGCUCUCAAUCGAGGCAAGGGACUCCUGCCUGAGCCAAAUAUCCUGCAGCUAUUGAACAACCUGGGCCCAUCUGCCUCCCUCCAGCUGCUCCUCAACCCCCUGCUGCAUGGAGGUGCCAGUGGCAAGCAGGGCCUCCUGGGUGCGCCCCCUGCCAUGCCGCUGCUCAGUGGGCCUGCCCUGUCUACUGCACUGCUGCAGCUAGCCCUGCAGAGCCAGAACCAGAGCCAGAGCCAGAGCCAGAAGGUAACAAAGCCUGGGAUCCUGGGAGACUCACCUCUGGGUACCCUCCAGGCCGGGGCCCAACCUUCCAACUCUCUCCUAGGAGAGCUGUCUGCAGGGGGGGGCCUGGCCCCGGAACUGCCGCCCCGCCGAGGGAAGCCACAACCCUUACUACCACCAUUGCUGGGCCCCUCUGGGGGUGACCGGGAGCCCAUGGGUCUGGGUCCCCCAGCAUCCCAGCUCACUCCACCCCCAGCCCCUAUGGGGCUCCGAGGCUCCAGUCUUAGAGGCCUCCCGAAGGACAGUGGGCCCCUGCCAACGCCCCCUGGGGUCUCACUGCUGGGGGAACCCCCAAAGGACUACCGCAUCCCCCUCAACCCCUACCUGAAUCUACACAGCCUGCUUCCAUCCAGUAACCUAGCAGGCAAGGAGACCCGGGGCUGGGGAGGCUCUGGGAGAGGCCGCCGCC
RNAcentral lists this long non-coding RNA (748 nucleotides) under Rattus norvegicus (Norway rat). Its description in RNAcentral is "long non-coding RNA NONRATT028316". Lineage: Eukaryota; Metazoa; Chordata; Mammalia; Rodentia; Muridae. The record is from RNAcentral.